RNAcentral lists this long non-coding RNA (299 nucleotides) under Carica papaya (papaya). RNAcentral's name for it is "long non-coding RNA (CPAP_LNC005500)". Lineage: Eukaryota; Viridiplantae; Streptophyta; Magnoliopsida; Brassicales; Caricaceae. The record is from RNAcentral.
UCAUCUCCUUCAAGUUAAUUAGACCUCUGCUUUAAUCAUUUAUGAUCUUUGUAAUACAUUGCAUUAAUCUUUGUGGUGGAAACUUUUAAUCUUUCCUUAGGUUCUUGAGUGUUUGAUCAAUAUUUUUUGACAUAUUCUUCAAGUUGCAAAAGGUGUUCAUAUGUGGCAACAUUAGUUUUAUUUCUUGUCAAGACAACUGCGAAAGGUAACAUCUCAUCUCAAUCAACUGACUGUGACACGAAUAUGCUAGGAACUUUAGACUUCAAUAAAGAAUUGUGAUAAGUAAAAUAAGAAUCUAG